GGAGGGGUGCUAGAGCGGUCGAAUAGGAUUGUCUUGAAAACAAUUGAGCCUGAAAGGGUUCCGUGGGUUCGAAUCCCACCCCCUCCGCCA
RNAcentral lists this transfer RNA (90 nucleotides) under Candidatus Harrisonbacteria bacterium CG10_big_fil_rev_8_21_14_0_10_38_8. RNAcentral's name for it is "tRNA-Ser". It matches the Rfam family "tRNA". Rfam says of the family: Transfer RNA (tRNA) molecules are approximately 80 nucleotides in length. Their secondary structure includes four short double-helical elements and three loops (D, anti-codon, and T loops). Lineage: Bacteria; Candidatus Harrisoniibacteriota. The record is from RNAcentral.